Acyrthosiphon pisum (pea aphid) is the source of this 292-nucleotide long non-coding RNA. RefSeq lists it as uncharacterized. The transcript has 2 exons. Lineage: Eukaryota; Metazoa; Arthropoda; Insecta; Hemiptera; Aphididae. The record is from RefSeq and is a predicted model, not a curated record.
AAGAAUCACUCUGUAUAUCUACACCCAUAGUCUAUACCUAUACCUAUAUCUAUCAAUUAAUAUUUUUGUUUAGCACGAACUCGGAUCGGUUGUUGUGAAUAAUGUGGAUAAAGACGAGGAUGAAGAAGAAUAUCCGUUUCAAAAAACAUACUAUUCGUAUAAAGUGCAAUCUAAUGAGUUGUUAAAAGAUGUACGCUUAGACCCGCCAAUUGACUACGUAACGCCAAAAGGAUACAAAUUGGUGUUGCAACCAAUUGUUCAUUUUUGUCAACAUGUGGACAAGAGUAUUAUC